GGCAGAGGUUCUGAUACAUGCAUCUCCCUCAUUAAUCUCCAAAACAAAUAACUAUGGAGAUACUUUUCUCCAUAUGGCAGUGUCAGGAUUUCGAACCCCAGGUUUCCACAGAGUAGAUAGGCAGAUAGAACUCAUAAAGCAGUUAGUAAGCGGUAGGAUUGUAAACAUCCAAGGGAUCAUCAAUGUCAGGAACAAUGAUGGAAGAACGGCCCUUCACA
This 218-nucleotide unclassified non-coding RNA is filed under the name Hevea brasiliensis (rubber tree). Lineage: Eukaryota; Viridiplantae; Streptophyta; Magnoliopsida; Malpighiales; Euphorbiaceae. The record is from RNAcentral.